This 260-nucleotide unclassified non-coding RNA is filed under the name fungal sp. RNAcentral describes it as "partial internal transcribed spacer region". The stretch from base 1 to 46 matches the Rfam family "Eukaryotic small subunit ribosomal RNA", at positions 1786 to 1831 of the family's 1831-position model. Lineage: Eukaryota; Fungi. The record is from RNAcentral.
AAGUCGUAACAAGGUUUCCGUAGGUGAACCUGCGGAAGGAUCAUUAACUUGAUUAAUAAUCUUCUUUUAUAAUUGGAUAUCAUAUAACCUAACCGCUGGGGGCAUAUUUUAAAAAAUUUAUAAAAAUUUUUCUCUCCGCUGGGGGCCAUAUUUAUUUUAAAAAGUUUAAUUUAUUUAAUUGUGCAAAUUAUACUAUUUUUUAUAGUUAGUGAUGGAUAAAGUUUCUAAAAAAACUUUCAACAAUGGAUCUCUUGGCUCUU